Molecule: long non-coding RNA, 2052 nt
Organism: Herpailurus yagouaroundi (jaguarundi)
Lineage: Eukaryota; Metazoa; Chordata; Mammalia; Carnivora; Felidae
Exons: 4
Source: RefSeq, a predicted model, not a curated record
CUGUGUAUCCCUCUCUCUCUGGCCCUUCCCAACUUGUGCUCUCUCUUUUUUUCUCUCAAAAAAUAAACAUUAAAAAAAAAAAAUGCAAAGGAAAAAGUUACCUAAUUUGAUAGAUGGGAAAUGGUAUCUUCUGAUGUUUUCAUUCAGAUAUUAUUCCUGUGGUACAUGGUUUUUUUCCCCGUCACGUACCAAGUGGCCAUUUGCAGUGCAUGGGUUAUGUGACCAGUACCCCAAAUCCAGUUCAAGUGUCCAAUUCAGUAGAUGUGGGGAAGGUUUUCACCGAAAUCAUGUAAUGAGUUCACCAUUAGGAAGGGUUUUGUUAACAGAGAGGAUGCUGAGCAGAAAAAGGAAUAGAUGACUUCCCUUCAAGCUAUUAAUCUUUUUCCUUUUGACUUAUGUAUUUACGAUAUUAACCUCUCCUUAUGUUAUAAAGGUUUCCUCUCCAAAUUAUCUUGUGCUUUUCAGUUUUUAUUAGGGCCCUUUUAAGCAGAGCUUGUUUAGUUUUAAGUAGGCCAACUUCUGCCAAUGUCUUUGCAGUUUCUGCUUCUGGUGUCUUGAGGUAUGUGUGGGCUGCUUCCCAGACCCUGAGAGGCUUUGUAUUAUUUAAAACCAGCAACAACUCUGAGGAGGCAAUGAUCAACCCCUAAAUGACAUUUAUCCUGGAUAAAAUGGAAGCUAUGAAAUAUGGGCACAGUUUUGAGGAUCUACGGAAUGCAUUUCACCAUAGGUUUCUCUAUGGCCUACAGAGAUCAAAUCCAAAAUCUGUUACAGAAGUGGGAUCCAAAGACCCUGAAUGUCUCCAAGGCCAGUGAACACAUAGGUGCCUAGUACCCACAAAGCCCAAUGAACUCACUGCUUUCUAGCUAACCCUGGAAUUUGAGGGUAAGUCUCUUUGAGAUCUGAGGUCUGCUCUUUGUGUUUUGAGUGCUCCAACUUUAUUGUGCACACCUGCAUUUUGCUUGUUGAGGCUUCUUGGUUAGUCACUCUGUGCUGUUCAAAGAGUGGGGGUGGGGUGGAACGUGAUUCCCUGUGUUUUGAAACAGUUGUUGGAAAACAGGGCCUCUCACAGUUAAGACAUUAAAGGUAAAGACGGGUUCCGUCUGGCCUAUGGAUGAGGCUCUUGUGCCUUUUUGGAAGAUGGCUGAUCUUUUGAAAUUGUAGUGGCCACUUUGGGGAAUUUUUAACUUAGAUAGGUCCACCUUAAGCACGUUUAGAAGAUUCCAAACCUCUCAGAAACCAUGGAAUGUAUUCUUUAAAUGGCAUGUAGAAGCUUCUAAAAGACGAAAAUGACUCCAUAAAGAGCUCUGAAAAAAAUCCUUACAGCAUGCAAAUAGUGUGUUUGGCCAUCUAAGUAGGUACUGUUAAUUUAGUCCACCUGCCAGAAACACAGUUUGUAUCCAACAAUUCUUUUGACUUUUGUACCUGAGACGUGGCUACAGUUUUCAAAACAAAAGCUUUAAGAACUUUUUGGAUGUCUGUAUGUUUAUGUAGGUCUAUGUAUGUUACAGAUAGGUGAUAUUUUUCUCUUUCCAGAUGGUAUUACCAAAAUUGUAAAGAGCUCUAUUUAAAGUGUUUUAUCAAGAUACUCUCAGAAGUAUAGAAACUAACCCGUAUUUUUUCAAGUUUAUGAUCUAAGAUCCUUGAUAAAUACAAGCUAGUUUAAGUAUGCUGGUUUAAUAAAAGCAGGUAUGUCUUCAACAUUUGCCAAAAAAUAUGAUAGUUGUUUAUGUCUAAUCCAAGCACAACUGUUUAAAGUAAUAAUUUAAAGUUUAUACUAACUCUAACUGAAUAAUGGGUAUUCAUUGAAUAUCUAAAUCAUUUCCAAACUUACAUUUAGCAUUUAAUGUUAAUCUACUUUUGGCUUUUUAAUUUUCUACAGAGAUAAAAGAUAUUUGGGUCCAUUAACAAACAUGAUUUGUGCCACAAUGAAAAAUCUACUACUUUAGAAACUGUGAAAUAUAUUUGUAAAUUUGCCAACCCACACUUUUUUUUCUUAGUUUUCAACUAGGAAUUAAAGAUCCUAACAGUUAAGAAUUCUUAUAUAUAUAUAUA